UGCCUAAAGACGAGCUCGCGCCUGAUUAGCUAGUUGGUGGGGUAAAGGCCUACCAAGGCGACGAUCAGUAGCUGGUUUGAGAGAAUGAUCAGCCACACUGGAACUGAGACACGGUCCAGACUCCUGCGGGAGGCAGCAGUGGGGAAUUUUCCGCAAUGGGCGAAAGCCUGACGGAGCAAUACCGCGUGAGGGAUUAAGGCCUGUGGGUUGUAAACCUCUUUUCUCAAGGAAGAAUUCUGACGGUACUUGAGGAAUAAGCAUCGGCUAACUCCGUGCCAGCAGCCGCGGUAAUACGGGGGAUGCAAGCGUUAUCCGGAAUUAUUGGGCGUAAAGCGUCUGUAGGUUGUUUAAUAAGUCAGUUGUUAAAGACUGGGGCUUAACCCCAGGAAAGCAAUUGAAACUGUUAGGCUAGAGUAUGGUAGAGGUAGAGGGAAUUCCUAGUGUAGCGGUGAAAUGCGUAGAUAUUAGGAAGAACACCGGUGGCGAAAGCGCUCUGCUGGGCCAUAACUGACACUCAGAGACGAAAGCUAGGGUAGCAAAUGGGAUUAGAUACCCCAGUAGUCCUAGCCGUAAACGAUGGAUACUAGAUGUUGCGUAUUUAUAUGCAGUGUUGUAGCUAACGCGUUAAGUAUCCCGCCUGGGGAGUACACUCGCAAGGGUGAAACUCAAAGGAAUUGACGGGGGCCCGCACAAGCGGUGGAGCAUGUGGUUUAAUUUGAUGCAACGCGAAGAACCUUACCAAGGCUUGACAUGUCACGAAUCUUUUUGAGAAAAAAGAGUGCCUUCGGGAACGUGAACACAGGUGGUGCAUGGCUGUCGUCAGCUCGUGUCGUGAGAUGUUGGGUUAAGUCCCGCAACGAGCGCAACCCUUGUCUUUAGUUACCAUCAUUCAGUUGGGGACUCUAGAGAGACUGCCGGUGACAAACCGGAGGAAGGUGAGGACGACGUCAAGUCAGCAUGCCCCUUAUGCCUUGGGCUACACACGUGCUACAAUGAUUAAGACAAAGAGCAGCAAGCUUGUGAAAGUUAGCAAAUCUCAUAAACUU
Molecule: ribosomal RNA, 1046 nt
Filed under: uncultured eukaryote
Lineage: Eukaryota
Description: bacterial SSU rRNA
Rfam family: Bacterial small subunit ribosomal RNA
Source: RNAcentral